UACGGAGGGUGCAAGCGUUAAUCGGAAUUACUGGACGUAAAGCGUGCGCAGGCGGUUUGUUAAGUCCGUUGUGAAAGCCCCGAGCUCAACUUGGGAAUUGCAGUGGAUACUGGCAGGCUGGAGUACGGUAGAGGAAGGUGGAAUUCCCGGUGUAGCAGUGAAAUGCGUAGAUAUCGGGAGGAACACCAGUGGCGAAGGCGGCCUUCUGGACCAGUACUGACGCUCAUGCACGAAAGCGUGGGGAGCAAACAGG
This 253-nucleotide ribosomal RNA is filed under the name uncultured bacterium. RNAcentral describes it as "partial 16S ribosomal RNA". It matches the Rfam family "Bacterial small subunit ribosomal RNA", at positions 524 to 776 of the family's 1533-position model. The record is from RNAcentral.